AGAAACCCACGCUUAAGAGCAGCUGGGUGGCCUGGAGCAGGUCAUCGGACAAUCUGAGCCUCAGCGCCCUCAACCAAUCCCUCGGGAGGUGUUGCAGGCCCAGCCAUGGAACCUACGAGGGUAGAAGGAAGUUUUUCCUCCUCUGCAUCAUAUCCAUCACGCCCUAAAGUUUCUUCCUGCCCAUUGGGAAUCCCUCCUUCCUGCUCCUCCCCUCUUUAAAGCCUGUGGUUCUAAAGCGUGCUGUUGCGAACGGCGCUGCUGUGAACAUUCUUGUACGAGACUUUGGCGCCCGUCUGCGCACACUUCCGCUGGCGUGGACUGCUAGGCCAGCGUGCGUGCUUGUGCUCAGCCUCUGGAAAUAGUGCCCGUGGCAGCAGCUCCCAGGAUGGUCCCAUUGAUCCCUGCUUCUCGGUGUUCACGCUUGUUCUGGACCGAGCGUUUGGGUCCCGCCCAAAUUCGUAUGUUGAAGCCUUAGGGCUUCCCGGGGUGGCUGUAUUCGGAGAUGGGGCCUCUGUGGAAGUAACGAAGAUUAACUGACGUCCUAAGAGGGGGGCCCUGAUCUGAUAGGAUCGGUGUCCUUAUAAGAAGAGAUCAGGGAACUAGCCUGCUCUCUCUUAUUUGCUUUAUCGUGUGUACUCUCUCACCACGCUGCCCCACUCCACGCGCACACACACACACACACACACACAACGCUUUUCUGAACCUUGAGAGUAAGUUGUGUACAUGAUGACCUUUCACUCCCAAAUGAUUCUGUCUGUAUUUCUUAGGAACAUUCCCGUCCAUGAUCACCCUGCAGCUACCAACUUCAGUCUGCUUAACGUUGCCAUAAUACUUCUAUCUACCUUACUAUCUGUAUUUCCAUUUUUGAAGUUGAUCUAAUAAUGCCCUUUGUGGCGUCUUCCCUCUUCCAGUACAGAAUCCUGUCUAGAGUCAAGCAUUGUUCUUACUGUCACGUCUUUUCAGUUUCUUUCAAUCAGGAACAUUUCCAUGGCCUUUCUUUGUCUUUUAUGACAUUGACAUUUUCAACAAUACAGUCCCUCCCCCUCUUCCCUCUCAGAUGGAACGUUCCUCAUUUUGUUUGUCUGAUACUUUCUUAUGAUUAGAGGAAAUAUUGCUUUGCCGGCUGGCAUCCCGUGCGAGUGGUCGCCGGGUCUCGCAUCUGGGGCCACACAGUUUCUCUCUGCUCCUCGUUAAGGAUGCUAAUUUUGAUCACCUACCUGGUCCAGGUGGGGUUCAGUGAUAUUUUUUCCCUGAAACUGAUAAGCGACCUGUGAGGACAUUAUACUGUGAACAGGAACCCUCUUUUUGAAGGUAGCUUAAUUCAAUGUAGUCUAACUUACUGGCUUUUUCCUUUAUAGUGGAUGUCUUUUGUGUCCAGUCAAAAAAAAAAAAUUUUUUUUUUUCUUUGCCUAGCUCAGCAUCUAAAGGUAUUUUUCUGGUUUCUCCUAAAAGCUUUAUUAUUACUAGACCUUCGACAUUUAGAUCUGUGAUCCAUCUGGAAUGGAGGUUUUUUGUGCCUGAUGUAAGCUAGCGGUCAAGAUGUGGAAAUCCAAGUAAUCCAGAUGUUUUUAUUUACUUAUUUAUUCUUUUUUUUUAAUGUUUCGUUCAUUUUUAAUGUUUUGAGGGAGACAGAGUGUAAGUGGGGGGAGGGGCCGAGAGAGAGAGGGAGACACAGAAUCUGAGGCAGGCUCCAGGCUCCGAGCUGUCAGCACAGAGCCCGACGCGGGGCUCGAACUCAAGGACCGCGAGAUCAUGACCUGGGCGAAAAUCGGGCACGUAACUGACUGAGCCACCCAGGCGCUCCAAUCCAGAGGUUUUUAUUAAUAAUUUUUAGUUCCACAAGAAAUGCAUGACUAUGUACCCUCCCCCUAAAAAAUUACAGAUAAUGCUAACAUCCUCUUUCCCCCACCCUCCCUAAAUCUUUUCCCUGCUCCAGAGCAGGGACCAUGAAAGUAACCCUUGUUAUCAGUUUAUUACAUCCUUCUGGAGUUUUUUCCCUAAAAAAUAAAAUACCUGUUAAUUACACACUAUUUUCUUCUUUCCUCCCAUAGCUCACCUUGUAUGAUCAUUCUGCAACUUGCUUUUUUUCACUCAGCAACAUGUCUUGGAUGUCUUUCUGUGUCGACACGUCCAGAUCUCCACGAUGCUUUUAAACGGCUGCGCUGGAUUAUAUGCUAUAUAUGACACAUGUCAUAAGCUGUCAAAGUACAGCCUGUCUAGUCAUGGGAUUGGUUCGUCAUGGAUUUUUAAGUCGGCCGUAAUACUUUGUUUUGCUUCCACGAUUUUUAUUCAUACUGUGUCUGUAUCAUACUCUAUUUUUAUUCCUACUGGAUUCAAAGUCUACAAAGUACUCAUCGAGUAGUGCUGCCCUGAAAAUUGAGGCAUCCCAAAGGGGCGCUGCUGUCCCAACCCCCCUGAGAAGUAGAUGAGGUUAGACCUGGGGUCUGGAAGGCACUGGGCUCGUCCCGGAUUCAGGACAAGCGAAAGAGCUCAGGCAGGGUCUGGUGACCGGCCCGGGCUCGUACACAGCAGACCCCCCAGGCCUGCUCCUGGGGCCGCCCUGUUCUCUCCCUGCUUCACCUGCCUUCAGAGCUGGACUCUGACACAGGCCACCGUGCGGGUGUCUGUGGGGGUCUGCUCCCUUCCCACCCCUGAUGCCCGGGGGUCUCCCCUGCUCUCCCCCUACACCUGGGCUCUAGAGCCCUCCCUCCUCUGAACGUCCAUUUGUCGAAAAUCCUCUGCCUUCCAGGAUGGCCUUGCGGGACAGGUGCGAACACAUUUCGAAUCUAGAGAAGCUCCACAGCCGUUAAAUCCCAUGUUGGGUAAAAUAAUCAAAGAAUCUCCCCCAAAUUUGUCAACGGCGGCGCUGGGCCUAGCGGUUCCGUAAUGACUCCCACUUGAUGACAGAUCUCGAGAAAAUGCGUUUUGGAAGCAAUCAGUAUAUGCUGAAUAGAAUCCUAUUUUACAAGCGUUUUAUCUACUCUUAAGGACAUGGGAGAUGAGGAAAACAGAUAAGCCUCUCUAUUAAUAUUGAUUAGACCAUUAUAUAUCUGAAAAAGAGAUUUUAGUCAGAGAUGAUUGCACCUUACCAGUACAGCCUCCCGUCUUGAAUGGAGUCAUUUAAUCCGCCGCUCAGCGCUGGGGGCGGGGGGGAGGGGAGGGAGGGGCUCGCAGGCUUUGCUGCCUCACGCUGGGCACAGGAGGCAGGACAGGGACGCUGGUGAGAGGACCGCGAGGGCACUUGCACACUUUCUUACCAAUCCCACAAGGGCCCGAUAAGAGGAAGAUAAAAACAGCAGCGGCAGGAAGGAUCGAGGUCAGCCUUCAGCAACAACGGUUCCGUUUUUUGGUUUUUUUCUCUAGAAGAGUCCAGAAGUUGGAGCUAGAACACCUUCUUUUCCCGAAUAGCUUUAAGAAUAAAGA
This is a long non-coding RNA of Acinonyx jubatus (cheetah), 3423 nucleotides long. RefSeq lists it as uncharacterized. NCBI's taxonomy places the organism in Eukaryota, Metazoa, Chordata, Mammalia, Carnivora, Felidae. The transcript has 3 exons. The record is from RefSeq and is a predicted model, not a curated record.